AACGUUGACUCGGGGUGCCCUUCCACGUGAAGGCUGAGAAAGACCCGUACCACCUGAUCUGGAUAAUGCCAGCGUAGGGAAGUCACGGAGUCUCACC
Lonsdalea quercina is the source of this 97-nucleotide regulatory RNA element. It matches the Rfam family "TPP riboswitch aptamer (THI element)". Rfam says of the family: Vitamin B(1) in its active form thiamin pyrophosphate (TPP) is an essential coenzyme that is synthesised by coupling of pyrimidine and thiazole moieties in bacteria. The previously detected thiamin-regulatory element, thi box was extended, resulting in a new, highly conserved RNA secondary structure, the THI element, which is widely distributed in eubacteria and also occurs in some archaea. Lineage: Bacteria; Pseudomonadati; Pseudomonadota; Gammaproteobacteria; Enterobacterales; Pectobacteriaceae. The record is from Rfam.